CCUACGGGUGGCAGCAGUGAGGAAUCUUGGUCAAUGGGCGAGAGCCUGAACCAGCCAAGUAGCGUGAAGGAUGACUGCCCUACGGGUUGUAAACUUCUUUUAUAGGGGAAUAAAUUGAUGCACGUGUGCCUUUUUGUAUUUACUUUAUGAAUACGGAUCGGCUAACUCCGUGCCAGCAGCCGCGGUAAUACGGAGGAUCCGAGCGUUAUCCGGAUUUAUUGGGUUUGAAGGGAGCGUAGGUGGGUUGUUAAGUCAGUUGUGAAAGUUUGCGGCUCAACCGUAGAGUUGCAGUUGAUACUGGCAGUCUUGAGUACAGUAGAGGUAGGUGGAAUUCGUGGUGUAGCGGUGAAAUGCGUAGAGAUCACGAAGAACUCCGAUUGCGAAGGCAGCUUACUAGACUGCCACUGACAUUGAUGCGCGAAAGUGUGGGUAUCAAACAGGAUUAGAUACCCGUGUAGUC
RNAcentral lists this ribosomal RNA (460 nucleotides) under uncultured bacterium. Its description in RNAcentral is "partial 16S ribosomal RNA". It matches the Rfam family "Bacterial small subunit ribosomal RNA", at positions 338 to 795 of the family's 1533-position model. The record is from RNAcentral.